AUCGGUUAGCGAGCAGGAUAAGCAUGUAGUCUUUCAGUUGCAGAGCUCUUCGGACGGGGGUUCGACUCCCCCCGCCUCCACCA
RNAcentral lists this transfer-messenger RNA (83 nucleotides) under Acidobacteriota bacterium. Its description in RNAcentral is "partial transfer-messenger RNA". It matches the Rfam family "transfer-messenger RNA", at positions 281 to 374 of the family's 374-position model. From Rfam's summary of the family: Bacterial tmRNA, also known as 10Sa RNA or SsrA, is named for its dual tRNA and mRNA-like properties. Its role is to liberate the mRNA from a stalled ribosome. The record is from RNAcentral. Lineage: Bacteria; Pseudomonadati; Acidobacteriota.